Odocoileus virginianus texanus is the source of this 653-nucleotide non-coding RNA. The record is from RefSeq and is a predicted model, not a curated record. Lineage: Eukaryota; Metazoa; Chordata; Mammalia; Artiodactyla; Cervidae.
GACUGGCUACAGUCUAUGGUGUCACAAAAGAGUCAGACAUGACUUAACGACUAAACAAUAACACAAACUUUUGUCUCUUUAACUGUACUAGAAAAACAGCAUAUAUGUUUCCUGAUGGAUCAGCUAAAUAUAUAGGAUCCAUUCACUAUUGGAAAGUGGUGGCACAUAAUCUGGUCACUACUAAAUCACUGACAACUACUGAGGAAGAUGCUCACAGUGUUCCAAAUUCUACUGAACGAUGGUAUAACUAUUACAGAGGAACAAACCUGAAUCCAAGCUGUAGAAGUUGAUCCAGACUCCAAUGACUUAAAAGGUUUGACUUUGUGGGCACACCAAAAAAUGUGGCCAUUUGGGAGAAAAAGCAACAUACAGGUGGAUUCUUCACUGAUGAACCACCAGGGAAGCCCUUUCAUGUGUAAUUGGCAAAAUACAAAAAGGAGAACCUCCCACUUUGUUAACAGAAGUGAUGAUUAUUCUUGGAAGCCUGACUGUAAUGUGGAUUGUCAUUCACUCUUCAACCUUCAAGGAUAUGUUACAAUUAACAGAAAAAUAUGAAGAAAUCGACUGGGGAAUUUUCAGUUGGAGAAACCUAAGCUGGACCUGAACUCAGGAUAACUUUGCCUGCCCGAUAAACAAGGCCUGUUCUUUCUUAA